Apis cerana (Asiatic honeybee) is the source of this 841-nucleotide long non-coding RNA. RefSeq lists it as uncharacterized. Lineage: Eukaryota; Metazoa; Arthropoda; Insecta; Hymenoptera; Apidae. The record is from RefSeq and is a predicted model, not a curated record.
UAUUCGAUAUUUUUUAUUUAUAAAAUUAUUCUGACAUUUCUCAAGAUCAGUUUACAAUAAAAUAAUUUUAAAAAAAUUUUAAUAGUAAAAUAUAAUUGCUUUUUUCUACAAAAAAUACUUAAACAAGAUAUACUUUAUAUUCACAUCUGUCUAUUUUCAAAAAAUCUACUCUCAUUUUAUUUAUUGAUACAUUGAAGCAGAUAUACAAAAUUUACAAUGUUAAUAAAGCCAAGUUCAUGCAAAAACAUAAUAUAUAUUUCAUGCUUUUAAGUUGGUACAUAACCCAAAAUAUGUUAUGUAUAAUUAUUUUAAUAACUUAGUAACAUAAGCUUAUUGUUUCGAUUUAAUCAUUCCAUAAAUAACAUAAGAAAUAUGAUUAAUCCACUACAAAAAUUAUUUUCUUUUUUAAAAUAUUGGUAUUUUAGAUAUAUGCUUGUUACGGAAUUAUACAUGGUUGAAGAAUGGGAAAGAAAUUUUAUCAAUAUAUUUUUUGUUGUACUCUUCUUUUUCUUUUUUGUAUUCAAUUGUAAAAUAGUAUUACCAAUUAUACAAUAUAUGUCACAUUCAAAAUCAAUAAUAUUUUAAUUGUAUUUAUUCUAAAAAAAACAAUCUUGCAUUUUCAUUAAAAAAAUUUGUAACAUAUAAUUAACAUUGUAUGGUGAAAGUAAUAGUAAAUUGUAAUACUAAAUUGUAUUCAAAGUUGUAAAUUUGUAUUCAAAGUUACAUAUAAUUUUAGCAUUUUAAAAUGAAUUAAUAUAUUUUAUUAAAGAAAUAUCUCUAUUCGAAACCAUAUGUAUAUUCUAUUAUAUAAUUAAAUAUUAAACAUUCAAUCAACUAAUAA